RNAcentral lists this ribosomal RNA (508 nucleotides) under uncultured fungus. Its description in RNAcentral is "SSU rRNA". It matches the Rfam family "Eukaryotic small subunit ribosomal RNA", at positions 569 to 1078 of the family's 1831-position model. The record is from RNAcentral. Lineage: Eukaryota; Fungi.
AGCAGCCGCGGUAAUUCCAGCUCCAAUAGCGUAUAUUAAAGUUGUUGCAGUUAAAAAGCUUGUAGUUGAAUUUCGGGAUCAAUUUAUCGGUCGUGCCAAUGGUAUGAACUGGUACAAUUGGUUUCUCCCUUCUGACGAAGCAUGAUGUCAUUAAUUUGGUGUCGUGGGGAAUCAGGACUGUUACUUUGAAAAAAUUAGAGUGUUUAGAGCAAGCAUUAGCUUGAAUACAUUAGCAUGGAAUAAUGAAAUAGGACGUUUGAUCCUAUUUCGUUGGUUUCUAGGAUCGACGUAAUGAUUAAUAGGGAUAGUUGGGGGCAUUAGUAUUCAAUUGUCAGAGGUGAAAUUCUUGGAUUUAUUGAAGACUAACUACCGCGAAAGCAUUUGCCAAGGAUGUUUUCAUUAAUCAAGAACGAAAGUUAGGGGAUCGAAGACGAUCAGAUACCGUCGUAGUCUUAACCAUAAACUAUGCCGACUAGGGAUCGGAUGAUGUUAAUUUUUUAAUGACUCA